RNAcentral lists this non-coding RNA (30 nucleotides) under Mus musculus (house mouse). The record is from RNAcentral. Lineage: Eukaryota; Metazoa; Chordata; Mammalia; Rodentia; Muridae.
UCCAUUAGGUAUUACAAUGGUGCCCAUAGA